Molecule: long non-coding RNA, 177 nt
Organism: Oncorhynchus keta (chum salmon)
Lineage: Eukaryota; Metazoa; Chordata; Actinopteri; Salmoniformes; Salmonidae
Exons: 3
Source: RefSeq, a predicted model, not a curated record
AAGGAAGCACACACACCCUCAGUCAUGAGGCAAAGGUAACACACACACACACACGCUCAGUCAUGGGGCAAAGGUCACACACACACACACACACGCUCAGUCAUGGGGCAAAGGUCACACACGCACGCUCAGUCAUGGGGCAAAGGUCACACACACACACGCAUGCUCAGUCAUGGG